Long non-coding RNA from Lolium perenne, 2794 nucleotides. RefSeq lists it as uncharacterized. Lineage: Eukaryota; Viridiplantae; Streptophyta; Magnoliopsida; Poales; Poaceae. The record is from RefSeq and is a predicted model, not a curated record.
UCGUCGCACCGAGAAUAGCAUGUCCACAACCUCGCCUUCCCCACAUGCCAUAGCCAUUCUUCAUUGCUUCCCCAACCCCACAUCCCCCACCCAUCCCCUUUUCCCCUCUCCAACCUCUGCUCACAUCCUUCCCCCCGACGGCUGGCCACCGUGUGGGGAGAAAUCAAGGUGGCAUGCGUACCGGAGAGAUGGGAGGAGACGGGCGGGCGCAUGCUUGUGAAGGGUUCCCGGGAUCAGCAGCUCCCUCCACCCUGACUCCUUGCGGCUUCCUUGCCGGGGAAACCACCACGCCGCCUCUAUCGCGAAUUCCACCACCGGCGACCCCCACCGUGUCCUAUUUUUCUAGUACUUGUUUUCUUGGUCUUCACUUUGCCCUUUUUCUCAGAUCUUUUUCCUGGUAUGUUGCCCUGUCAAUGGCCGCACCUCGUUCGCCCUGUCGGUGGUUGCGCCUCAUUUUAAUCACCGGCAGCUGCGCCUCAUUUUUCCAUGCCACCGGCCUGCAUCUCACGGCCCAGUCGGCGUCGGAAAGGAGCCAGGGGAGCUGGCGGUGCGAGCAGACAGUUGGGGCGGGAGGCGCUGUCUCCGUCGGGCGAAUCUGGGACGGAACCAGGAAAUACGGGACGCCGGUGGAGGUCUUCCCGUCGUUCUUUUUUCAAUCAGUUUUGCUUUACUUUUUUUUUCUUCUUUUCGAUCUGGAUUAGUUCACGUUUCAGAGAAUCAGUCCUGCCAUUUUUUUCAUUAAUCUAUUUUGUUUCACUUUUUUCCUUCCUGAUCUGGAUUCUUCACGGUAUGAGGGAAUCAGGUCCAUGUCGAUUUUUAAUCUGUGGCCAUGGUGGUGGCCACUGCCAGAUCUACGCGGUGACGGAGCUUGGUUAGUGGAUCCGACGCGGUUGUUUUUUCUACAAGGUCGGUAGAGGAAUCAGUCGUGUGCAGGUUCUAGAUCAAGCUGUUUCUUACUACCUUUUUCUUGAUCUCUCUUCGCGUCAUUUUCUCACCAAAACUAGCUCAUGUUCUCUCUGAAAUUGAUAAUUCCUCUAGCUCUUUCGUUUAUUCUUGUUGUGGAUCCAAUGUUCGUUAUUUUGGUAACUCUUGUUGUUGCAUCUCCCCCGCUCCCCUGGCUACCAUGGAUUCCGGCGCCGCCCCGGGCCUCCCACCGCGGCGGCCGAGUGCUCCAGCGGGUGAGCAGCUGGGGUGGGAGGUGGUUGGAUGGAGCUGAGAUGGAGGGUGUCGCCCUGCCUACAGUAAAACUGAUGUUGGUGUCUGAUGUUGGAAUUUCAGCGUCAACAUAUUUGUUUGAUGUUGCUAUUAUUUUUGGAAAAAACUUGAUUUGAUUUUUUAGUGAUGGAUCCACAUGUUUGCUGGAUCUUCAUUCCUCUCUCCUUUUCUUGGAACUUCUUCUCUCUAGCUCGAUAAUUCUUGUAGUCGAAGCGCUGGAUGCAUGGAUCACUGUGAACGAACUUCUCAUCCUUUUCUAUUUUUACAAAAAAUUAGUGUUUAUCUUGGAAACAUUCUCACCGGCGCGGUCGGAUGAAGGUGAAGACGCCGUCCGUGAUGUGUGCAUCGGAAGCAGCCAGCAGAGGAGCCUCGCUCCUGUGGUAAGGAGGAGGGGUUGGAGCUCUGUUUUUCCAUCAAUGUCAGCCCAGGGUAACCUCUGCUUUGUGAUUUCGAUUUGUGUAGCCUCUGUACUAGGACGUGGAAGUUUUCUUGCGCCUGGCUUGUUGCUCUGGACCUGUCCUCCUGUGGCUUAUUUCCUGCUGCCCUUGCCUUGAUACUGAUACAUCCCCUUUCCUUUGUUUUUCUGAUCUGCACUUUGUAUUUUCUUUCUGACCUGAAUCUGUUAAAUUCUGGGAUUUGCUGUGUACUCUACAUGGAUUUGAUGUUUCAGAUUGAUAAAAUAGAAAGCAAGUGGUGAUGAGUUACAGUUAGAUGUGCAUUUUCUAGUGUAUUGAACUUAUCAGCUUGAGUCCAUGAGGAUCGCGAGUGCUAUUUUCCCUCCCCAGUUUCGCUUUAUGCUCUAGAGUGCUCAAAGGGACACAUGUUCAGUCGGCACUGCAGGAGCUAGGUUCUUGGUGGAUUUGUUCUGGUCAAAUUGUCCUCCCGUAUGUGCUGCUAUUGAAGACUAAUUUCGUGAGAUAUAGAGCAGGUCGUCUGGUCAAAUUGUUGCUUUCCUUUGUUUGAGAGAAAAACAGAGCGGAGAGACGGAGCUGGAUUGGGAAUCAGAUAACAGGAGAGACACAUGCGGCUGCUAGAGUUGAUUUCAUUUUUUGGGUUGAAGAAGACGCUAGAGACAAGCAAAAUUAACCCCUGAUUGCUCAUGGUCUUGAUGCCCUUCUGGCGGAAACAGUAUGAACAACACUCACCUCAGGUUCUGCUACAAGUGUAAGAAUGGCACCCAGAGCAGGUGACUACAAAUCCAGAUUCAGACAAUAACGAGCCUGAGAUAGCGGACAGUAGGUAUCAUCUAAGAUCAUUCUGAUGAUGUUGCAUGCGAGAAGUAAUGGGGAAAGGCACCAGAUUCAGAAGGUGAAGCAGUUGGUAGAGAUGAUUAAGGGCACACACUGUGUAGAGAUUUCCAUGCGUUUCAAUUUGUUGAUGUAUACUGGUGUAUUGUUGAAAUAAACAAAUUUAUGGUUGUAAUUAAGGACCAGUAGAACGUUGCCGACAAUUUGUCGUAGACCACAAGAUUAUUUAUGUGUUAGCUCUUGAAAAACACAAACAGACAUGGCCUCUCACAAGUUUGAUUUACCAGCCUAAGAUCCGAAUACAAUCACACUUUUUUCUCGAUUGAAAAGUA